AUAACCCCCCGCUUUGACAUGUGGCUGAUAAAAUUUUUCUUCGCCAAAAGGGGUCUGAGCUUUGCCAGUCGAUCUCGGUUUCUCCAGUGUAAUUUAAUAUUGACGAAAGUUAUCCAACGGAGGUCAAACUUCUGCCGCACAACGAAAAUUUGCGAUCAACCUUAUUGUUGACCUUGGCAGAGGACAUACAGUUGCCUCUGAAAUUCUAUGUCGUGGCCUGGAUAGGCACAGACAUAUCCAUAUCGGAUGUCUUCAAGGAAAAUGAUUGACACACACACACACACACACUGAAUUCAACCGACACAUCAAUGCAUGCAGGCCUGUUGCAGCGAUGGAAAACCAAACUUGCUGUAACUGUAGAUAAAUAAGAUGUUAUGAAGAUUUGAGGUGAUGCUGAGGAUGGUUGUUAGUUGGAGUGGAGUUAAAAUAUGAAAAUACACUGAAGAUUGAUCAACAUGAAA
Molecule: long non-coding RNA, 461 nt
Organism: Drosophila miranda
Lineage: Eukaryota; Metazoa; Arthropoda; Insecta; Diptera; Drosophilidae
Exons: 3
Source: RefSeq, a predicted model, not a curated record